UCAUCAUAAUCGUAUGAGAAGUGAUGGGAAGAUGAUAGGGAUGCGGAAGGAGGAAUCGGAGAAAUCGGAGGGGGAUGUUGGGGAUCAGGAAGAGGAUACGGGAGGGGAUGGGGAAAAGAAGGAAGC
This 126-nucleotide non-coding RNA is filed under the name Compsopogon caeruleus. Lineage: Eukaryota; Rhodophyta; Compsopogonophyceae; Compsopogonales; Compsopogonaceae. The record is from RNAcentral.